Molecule: ribosomal RNA, 266 nt
Filed under: uncultured bacterium
Lineage: Bacteria
Description: partial 16S ribosomal RNA
Rfam family: Bacterial small subunit ribosomal RNA
Source: RNAcentral
ACCUACGGGAGGCAGCAGUGGGGAAUAUUGCACAAUGGGCGAAAGCCUGAUGCAGCAACGCCGCGUGAAGGAAGAAGGGUUUCGGCUCGUAAACUUCUUUUUACAGGGAAGAAAGAAAUGACGGUACCUGAAUAAGAAGCCCCGGCUAAUUUCGUGCCAGCAGCCGCGGGAAUACGUAGGGGGCAAGCGUUAUCCGGAAUUACUGGGUGUAAAGGGGGAGAAGGCGGCAGGGUAAGCCAGAUGUGAAAGCGUUGGGCUUAACCCGA